This 488-nucleotide ribosomal RNA is filed under the name uncultured bacterium. RNAcentral's name for it is "partial 16S ribosomal RNA". It matches the Rfam family "Bacterial small subunit ribosomal RNA", at positions 28 to 507 of the family's 1533-position model. The record is from RNAcentral.
GAUGAACGCUAGCGGCAGGCUUAACACAUGCAAGUCGAGGGGCAGCAUAAUGGAUAGCAAUAUCUAUGGUGGCGACCGGCGCACGGGUGCGUAACGCGUAUGCAACCUACCUUUAACAGGGGGAUAACACUGAGAAAUUGGUACUAAUACCCCAUAAUAUCAUAGAAGGCAUCUUUUAUGGUUGAAAAUUCCGAUGGUUAGAGAUGGGCAUGCGUUGUAUUAGCUAGUUGGUGGGGUAACGGCUCACCAAGGCGACGAUACAUAGGGGGACUGAGAGGUUAACCCCCCAGACUGGUACUGAGACACGGACCAGACUCCUACGGGAGGCAGCAGUGAGGAAUAUUAGUCGAUGGACGCAAGUCUGAACCAGCCAUGCCGCGUGCAGGAUGACGGCUCUAUGAGUUGUAAACUGCUUUUGUACGAGGGUAAACGCAGAUACGUGUAUCUGUCUGAAAGUAUCGUACGAAUAAGGAUCGGCUAACUCCGUG